UUGAACGCUGGCGGCAUGCCUUACACAUGCAAGUCGAACGGCAGCACGGGGGCAACCCUGGUGGCGAGUGGCGAACGGGUGAGUAAUACAUCGGAACGUGUCCUGUAGUGGGGGAUAGCCCGGCGAAAGCCGGAUUAAUACCGCAUACGCUCUACGGAGGAAAGGGGGGGAUCUUAGGACCUCUCGCUACAGGGGCGGCCGAUGGCAGAUUAGCUAGUUGGUGGGGUAAAGGCCUACCAAGGCGACGAUCUGUAGCUG
This 258-nucleotide ribosomal RNA is filed under the name Burkholderia sp. ISO352_OTU134. Its description in RNAcentral is "partial 16S ribosomal RNA". It matches the Rfam family "Bacterial small subunit ribosomal RNA", at positions 30 to 289 of the family's 1533-position model. Lineage: Bacteria; Pseudomonadati; Pseudomonadota; Betaproteobacteria; Burkholderiales; Burkholderiaceae. RNAcentral also lists the same sequence under 2 other names. The record is from RNAcentral.